UAUAUUUUUUAUUUAUUUUAAUUUUUUUUUAUUUUUUUUAUUUAGUAAAUUUAAAAAUUUUUAUUUAAUUUUGUUUUAAUAAUAAUUUAUUAUAAUUUAUUAUUAUUAGUUUAGUACCUUUUGUAUCAGGGUUGAUUUAUUAAUAGAAAUAUAUUUUAUAUCCCGAAGUUAAAUGAUUUAUUUUAAUAUUAUUAUGAUUGUAACAUAAAUCUUGUUAAUAUUAAUUUUGUAAUUAUAAGUUAUGCGUUUUUAUUUUUAUCUGGUUUUCUUAGAUUAAAUUUAAUUUUUAAUUAUUUUAGAAUUUAAUUUUUUUUUCUUGUUAAUUAUAUUUUAUGAGGGAUAAUCUUUAUAUUUUUAUACAAUUAUUUAGUAAUUAUUUAAUAUAUCUUUUAAAUUUUGAAUUUAGUUUUUAAUAAAUUAUUUUAUUUUUAUAUUAUUUUGUUUAAUUUAUUUUUUUAUAAGUUAUUUUUUAUUUAUUUUUAUUGUAUUAUUAAUAAUGAUUAAAUUAGUAUAAUUUUUUAUAUAUUAAAGUUUAAUUUGACAGAUUUUAUUUUCAACUGUUUAUCAAAAACAUUUCCUUUAGUUCUAAUUUGAAGGUAAGUUCUGCUCCAUGAUUGGGUAUUAAAUAGCUGCAGUAUUUUAACUGUACAAAGGUAGCAUAAUAAUUAGUUUUUUAAUUGAGGGCUGGUAUGAAUGGAUUCAUGAGAAAUAUAUUUUAAUUUUAUUUAUAAUUUUAAUUUAAUUUUUAAGUAAAAAAGCUUAAUUUUAAAUUUGGGACGAAAAGACCCUAUAGAACUUAAUUUUUUUAGAAUUUUUUAUUUUAUUGUAUUAAUUUUUUUUAUUAAGUAUUUUAAUUGGGGUGAUUAAUAAAUUUAAACUUUAUUUAUAAAUUUCUUUAUUUAAGAUUUAAUUUUGAUUCAUUUAUUUUGGUUCAAGGUAAAGUUACCUUAGGGAUAACAGCGUUAUUUAAAUGGCGAGUUCUAAUUUAUAUUUAAGUUUGCGACCUCGAUGUUGAAUUAAAAUUUAAAUAAGGGGCAAUAUCUUUAUUUUUUAAGUCUGUUCGACUUUUAAAUUUUUACAUGAUUUGAGUUCAAACCGGUGUGAGCCAGGUUGGUUUCUAUCUUAAUUUAAUUUAAUUAUUUUAGUACGAAAGGACCAUUUAGUUUAUUUGAUUUUAAUUUAAAUUCGUAUAAUAUCUAUAA
RNAcentral lists this ribosomal RNA (1202 nucleotides) under Empoascanara gracilis. Its description in RNAcentral is "16S ribosomal RNA". The record is from RNAcentral. Lineage: Eukaryota; Metazoa; Arthropoda; Insecta; Hemiptera; Cicadellidae.